AAUCAUAAUUGAACUAUAUAUAACCAAAUGAGAAGAAGUAAUUUACCUGACAAGCAUCUUUCCCUCCUUCAAGUAAACCAGCACAGAUCAUGUUGUCUGUAAUAGAACCUUCACCAUUCAGGCAGGUACACUGUCUGUUUCCCACAACUGGAACCUCCACUUCUUGUAGCGUUUGAGGGAAGGGGAGUGACACUAAACGGUAGAGGGAAAGUCUAUUAGGUGUAGCCAAAGGAAACAUCAUAUUCCAUCACUAGUUAACUACUUUACCUCCUUCCUGGACUGUUCCCCAACCAGUGACCCAGCUAUCAGUACCAUUGAUGAAGUUACUGCUACUGGCUGCCAGACACACAGGUCUGAUGUAUUCUGUGAAAGUGACCGGUGAGGAAAGUCUAAGCAGAGCGAUGUCGUUGUCAAAGCUAAAAGUGUCAAAGUUUGGAUGCAAAAUGAUUGUGUCAACAGUUCUGGACACUUCAUUUGUGUUGUUGCCCUGCAGGUUCUGACGACCAAGAGAAACGGACCAUCCAAAUGUGACCCACCUGAAGAAGCAGUGGGCAGCUGACAUCACCCACUCUUUGUUUAUAAGAGAACCACCACAAACAUGGCUGCCAAGAUCCUGCAAACUGGCCUGCCAAGGCCAACUUCCUUCUUGAGCGUCUUCACCUCCAACUAUCCUCGUGUUCAGUGGAGAGGUGCCACACACUGCAAACAGGACUGGUAGCUGGACACUCUGGCAUAAACUCCCGGCAGAUUAGGUCGAGCACAGCCAACACCAAAACUGACAAUUCCUGAUUGGAUCCAGAUUGAAUCCUGCUGGCUCAUCAUUGGACCUCCUGAGUCGCCCUAACGGUUCUGACGACCAAGAGAAACGGACCAUCCAAAGGUGACCCACCUGAAGAAGCAGUGGGCAGCUGACAUCACCCACUCUUUGUUUAUAAGAGAACCACCACAAACAUGGUUGCCAAGAUCCUGCAAACUGGCCUGCCAAGGCCAACUUCCUUCUUGAGCGUUUUCACCUCCAACUAUCCUCGUGUUCAGUGGAGAGGUGCCACACACUGCAAACAGGUCCCAUUAGAAUCCAAGUUGAUGAACACAAACUGUAUUCAAAAUUAGUCAGGGGCACGGAUGGUAUUUUGCAACAGGGCAGAACAGCUGUUAGCAAUGAUUGAAUGAUGAGGUUUUUUCCAACUCCAGGGCUUAAUCAAUUUUUUUUUUUUAAGUCAGUAGCAGUUUUGUAAAGUACACAUACUUUGUUACUGUACUUAAUGUACAAUUACUUAAUGUAUAAUUUUUUAACAUUUACACUUAUUUUGAAUACUUUCGCUUUUACUCUUCAAAAUGUUUUUAAAAAAAUGACUACCUUUACUGAAAUACAUUUUCAUGAAUUAUCUUUGUAACUCUUUACUCUAAAACAAAAGUUUAUUUUGAGACGUAUUGCCAUCAUUUUGUCAUAUUUAAUGCAAACAAGUAAAGUAAAUCGAUGCAAUGUUCAACUCAGAGCGGCGCACCCAGAAACUGCUAGCAAGUCUGCUGCUAAACUGUAACAUGUCGCAGUGUUGCUCAAAGAAUAACUCAGAAAGUCUUGGUGGUUUGAGCUACACUUU
Molecule: long non-coding RNA, 1601 nt
Organism: Entelurus aequoreus (snake pipefish)
Lineage: Eukaryota; Metazoa; Chordata; Actinopteri; Syngnathiformes; Syngnathidae
Exons: 5
Source: RefSeq, a predicted model, not a curated record